Molecule: ribosomal RNA, 773 nt
Filed under: uncultured Neocallimastigales
Lineage: Eukaryota; Fungi; Neocallimastigomycota; Neocallimastigomycetes; Neocallimastigales
Description: partial large subunit ribosomal RNA
Rfam family: Eukaryotic large subunit ribosomal RNA
Source: RNAcentral
UAUGUGAUCGUCUCUCGCAUAUCAAUAAGCGGAGGAAAAGAAACUAACAAGGAUUCCCCUAGUAACGGCGAGUGAAGCGGGAAGAGCUCAAAUUUGAAAUCUUAAAGGGUUUCCCUUUACGAAUUGUAGUUUAAAGAAGUGUUUUCUGUUGAGGUUUUGGUAAAAGUUCUUUGGAAUAGGACAUCAUAGAGGGUGAGAAUCCCGUAUUUGACCUUUACUUUCAACUUUGUGAUACACUUUCAAGAGUCGGAUUGUUUGGGAAUGCAGUCCAAAAUGGGUGGUAAAUUUCAUCUAAAGCUAAAUAUUGGCGAGAGACCGAUAGCGAACAAGUACCGUGAGGGAAAGAUGAAAAGAACUUUGAAAAGAGAGUUAAACAGUACGUGAAAUUGUCAAAAGGGAAGCGUUUGACACCAGUGUUGUUUUUCUGAAAAUCAAUUAAAGAACUGUUUAUGCUAAGUUGUUUAGACUUUAUCAGCUAACUGUUUAGUUUUGAGCUUUUCUUUAAUGCACUUUUCAGUUAACAAGUCAACAUCAAUUUCUUUUGCUGUAAAAAAGCUUGAGGAAGGUGGCUUGAGAUUCGUCUUAAGUGUUUAUAGCCUCUUGCCUAUGCAGUCGGAGAGAUUGAGGUCUGCAGCGUAGAUCCUUCGGGGCUAAAUGCAUUUGUGCUAAGUUAUAACAUUUUAUAGACAACUUGUUGACUAUGAUUUGUCUUGUAGCUUACUCGCUUAUGUUAUUUUACCUACGCUUAGGAUGUUGAAGAUAUGCGCGACACG